GGGUUGUGAGGUUAAGCGACUAAGCGUACACGGUGGAUGCCCUGGCAGUCAGAGGCGAUGAAGGACGUGCUAAUCUGCGAUAAGCGCCGGUAAGGUGAUAUGAACCGUUAUAACCGGCGAUUUCCGAAUGGGGAAACCCAGUGUGACUCGUCACACUAUCAUUAACUGAAUCCAUAGGUUAAUGAGGCGAACCGGGGGAACUGAAACAUCUAAGUACCCCGAGGAAAAGAAAUCAACCGAGAUUCCCCCAGUAGCGGCGAGCGAACGGGGAGGAGCCCAGAGCCUGAAUCAGCAUGUGUGUUAGUGGAAGCGUCUGGAAAGGCGCGCGAUACAGGGUGACAGCCCCGUACACAAAAGCGCAUGUGUUGUGAGCUCGAUGAGUAGGGCGGGACACGUGGUAUCCUGUCUGAAUAUGGGGGGACCAUCCUCCAAGGCUAAAUACUCCUGACUGACCGAUAGUGAACCAGUACCGUGAGGGAAAGGCGAAAAGAACCCCGGCGAGGGGAGUGAAAAAGAACCUGAAACCGUGUACGUACAAGCAGUGGGAGCCCCACCACUAAGCCAGUGGUGAACUCCACAUACGCAUCCUUUGCUGAAGGUGCGGUUAACGGAGCGCAAGCGACGUUCAACCUCAAAAGAAGCAGAGGGGGCUUAGUGGUGGGGUGACUGCGUACCUUUUGUAUAAUGGGUCAGCGACUUAUAUUCUGUAGCAAGGUUAACCGCAUAGGGGAGCCGGAGGGAAACCGAGUCUUAAUUGGGCGUUAAGUUGCAGGGUAUAGACCCGAAACCCGGUGAUCUAGCCAUGGGCAGGUUGAAGGUUGGGUAACACUAACUGGAGGACCGAACCGACUAAUGUUGAAAAAUUAGCGGAUGACCUGUGGCUGGGGGUGAAAGGCCAAUCAAACCGGGAGAU
Molecule: ribosomal RNA, 913 nt
Filed under: Salmonella enterica subsp. enterica serovar Kentucky
Lineage: Bacteria; Pseudomonadati; Pseudomonadota; Gammaproteobacteria; Enterobacterales; Enterobacteriaceae
Description: partial 23S ribosomal RNA
Rfam family: Bacterial large subunit ribosomal RNA
Source: RNAcentral